GCCGCAGUAGCUCAGCCUGAUUCCGUGAAGCCUAAAAUGGCUUUUAGGGAGGCUAAGGGGAGCAACUCGCUGAAGACGGGUAUGUCGGGUGUUCAAAUCACCCCUGCGGCA
RNAcentral lists this transfer RNA (111 nucleotides) under Candidatus Micrarchaeota archaeon CG1_02_55_22. RNAcentral's name for it is "tRNA-OTHER". The record is from RNAcentral. Lineage: Archaea; Nanobdellati; Microcaldota.